AUAUUGUCCUGUCACAGCAGUACUGAUCACAAGAGCCUACUGCUGUUUCGGGACAUA
This 57-nucleotide precursor RNA is filed under the name Blattella germanica (German cockroach). RNAcentral describes it as "precursor microRNA Mir-1000". It matches the Rfam family "mir-1000 microRNA precursor family", at positions 8 to 63 of the family's 72-position model. Lineage: Eukaryota; Metazoa; Arthropoda; Insecta; Blattodea; Blattellidae. The record is from RNAcentral.